RNAcentral lists this long non-coding RNA (2848 nucleotides) under Podarcis lilfordi (Lilford's wall lizard). The record is from RNAcentral. Lineage: Eukaryota; Metazoa; Chordata; Lepidosauria; Squamata; Lacertidae.
GCUUUUUCUUUUAAACCCACUUUUCGACCUCCUUCCGGGACCUGCAAACGAGCCUUGCGCGCAACAACAGUAAAAACAUCUUUGACGCCGAGGCAAUAACAUAGAAAAAUUCAUCCCAGCAGCCCUCAGCGAGCCUCUGACCCUUGGCCAGCCUCGAGGGGCGUUUUCACAGAGACGGAUGGCCUUUCGCCGAUGUUGGCGGUGCUGAGACAGAGUGCAAUGUUCGGAAAGGCUUUCGUGGGGCAGGUGCCUAGGUGCCCAGCAGCAUGCACACAAAAGAAGCUGCUUUAUAGAGUCAGGCUGAUCGGUUUGUUAAUCCAGGACAGGCAACAGCUCUGCAAGGUUUUAGGCAGAGUGGGGCGGGGUUUUUCCCCAGCUGCCCAAUAUCCUCCCCCGGGCAAUGCUGCCCGCGAGUGGCAGGGGGAGAGUUGCAUCGAGGACUUCAUGCAUCCACAGAAGUUGCUCUGCUACAGAGCAACAAUCUCUUCCGACCCCUGUUCUCUUCCCUCCCCCACAAAACCUGCCUUUUCUCUUGGAAGCACCUUCCUUGUGCUGUGAGCACCUAAGAACAACAGCCUGGGAAUCAGCCAGGGCACAUUCUGCCCUGCUGCCAUGCACCUAUGGAGCGCAGCAGCAUUCCUGGUGCUUCCUCGGAGGUGCCAACUGCGGAGCUUAACCCAGAGGGCCGUGCGCAGUUUGGCACCAGUGAAGAACACCAAGAGCGCCUAGAAGUAGAUUAGGACUAGCUGUUCUCCCCGGUUGACUCGCAGGUAUGGAGCAGCAGCAGCAGCUGCAGCAGCAGCAGAGGACCCCACGGAACAGCAGCAUCUCUGAUUUUCCAAUAGAACGUUGACCCUGUGUUGAUCUCGGUUACUAAGCGAUGCAAGCGACUGAUUUUCUUUCAUUGGGUUGGGACUUAGAAGUGGUGUCGGAAUGUGCGAGCCUCUGCUGGCACGUUACUACUUGAAUCGGUACUGGAACGGAUUCAGUUUCUGUGUGGCUGGUGCUUUUCCCCUUCUCUCGGAGGGGAGCUGAACGUUUAGAAUCCAGUUUAGUUGUUGCUGAGUGACCACAGGCGUAGAAUGAUUUUUCUAACUGCCGGGAGGGUCGCCACAAUGGAACUCUUCCUCCCAGGCAGAAAUGGAGAGAGCUUUUUGUCAUUUGCCACCCUUUAUCUCUCUCUCUCUCUCUGUAUGUGUAUGUCUCUUCAAGGGAUAAGUGCCAGCUGCAGAAUUGUUUUCAGUGAAGGGCAUAUGUUGAGGGGUGGAAUAAGCAUGUUUUCUCAAAUUGUACUGAAACAGGGUGGGUGCUUCAGGCAGGCAGUAGCUGACACACUGGUGAUGUGGAAGAAAUAAUUAUAACAGGGAUGUAUAAAGGGUGUGAGUAUACAUGUGCUUGGCUUCUGAUGGCUGCGCACACUCCAUGCCUUUAAAGCAACCCCCCCCAUCCUGAGAAUUGUAGUUUAGCUCUCACAGCACUGUAACUCCCAGCACCUUUAACAAACUGCACUUCCCAGGAUUCUUUGUAAGGUGGAGAAAUGUGCUUUAAAUGUUUGGUGUGUACACAGAACAAGACACACAAUUUCUCAUCUUUCAGUGGCAAAGCUUACUAUCUGGGAGAGAGCAUAAGAAUCUGCCUUAGCAUGCAGCUCUCAGACAACCCAUUUGUUGAACAUUCAUCCCAAUACAUUCGCAGGGAGAUUAGAAUAUUUAAUGAGCUUUCCUUCUGAUUUGAUUGUGGGAUACAUCAGAUGACAUUGUGUCAAAGCAAAUGUUAACCCACACUUUCUAGUGCAGUUCCCCAUCACUUUCCUUACUGCAAAAAGUUGAGUCUUCUGGGGAAGCAGGUUUGCUGUGCAAGACCCUCUAAGCAUUGCACAACAUGAAACUUGCAGCAUGUGAUUGAAUCCACCAGAAAAUAGACACAGUUUGCUUGUGCACUGAGUCAGACCACUUGCCCAUCUUCAGGCACUCAUGUGGGGGACCUUCCAAGCAUCAUAGUUCCUUACGAUGAGCUUUGAAUUCAAAUUGCACUCUAGCCAAGAGCUCAUUGGGUGCCCUUAAGCAAGCCCUUAUGCGCUUCUUCCAGCCUCCAUCUCCAGUACAGGGAAAAUUAUUCUGUUCUGUGUGACAGCAAUGGAGGCUGGUCUAUUAGGGCAAAGGGGGACUGCCCUCAGCCAGUCUCCACCUGCUCGCCUUCUUUCUUAGAACUAGUCCAGUGGGUGUCUCUGGCUGCCAUUUGUUCUAGCACCACCUACUGUUGGACUCCGUACCCUGCUGUCCUACCAGUGCAACUGAUGCUUCUGUUUUAUAAACUGGGUUGGAGGGAUUACGGUAUUCAGAUAAUGUUGACAAAGGGCUCUGAAUGCUGGAGGAAGAGCACUGGGAAUAUUCCUUAUAUCAGGGAUAGGAAACCUGUGGUCCUCUAGAUGUUGGUCUCCAACCUUUCACAGCCUUAGCUAGUGAAAGGGCGAUGGGAGUUGUAGUGCAACAACUGGAGGACUGCGGGGUCCCCAAACCCUGCUAUAAUAAUAAUAAUAAUAAUAAUUUAUGAGUUUCCCCAGCCACUCUGGGCGGCUAUAUUCCUCAUUGCCCAUCAGGAACUUCAUCAACAAGCAGAAAGGAUCCACUGCUUUUGCAACCCCUCUCCUUUCUUCCAAGAAGAGUUUCUUCCAGCUCUCUUGUUUGGACACAGCUCUGGGACAUGGUAAAUGAAAGUAUACCGUCUCUGAAUGUGAAAGCUCUGUUUAGUUAUCAUGGCUAAUUGAUAUGCCUAUCUAAAGAAAUCAGCCUAAGCUUCUACCCAUCACUAUACUUUGUUUCAGUGCGUCCCACAAGUUAAGGACAUG